This 2624-nucleotide ribosomal RNA is filed under the name Escherichia coli. RNAcentral describes it as "partial 23S ribosomal RNA". It matches the Rfam family "Bacterial large subunit ribosomal RNA". Lineage: Bacteria; Pseudomonadati; Pseudomonadota; Gammaproteobacteria; Enterobacterales; Enterobacteriaceae. The record is from RNAcentral.
CAUAGGUUAAUGAGGCGAACCGGGGGAACUGAAACAUCUAAGUACCCCGAGGAAAAGAAAUCAACCGAGAUUCCCCCAGUAGCGGCGAGCGAACGGGGAGCAGCCCAGAGCCUGAAUCAGUAUGUGUGUUAGUGGAAGCGUCUGGAAAGGCGCGCGAUACAGGGUGACAGCCCCGUACACAAAAAUGCACAUGCUGUGAGCUCGAUGAGUAGGGCGGGACACGUGGUAUCCUGUCUGAAUAUGGGGGGACCAUCCUCCAAGGCUAAAUACUCCUGACUGACCGAUAGUGAACCAGUACCGUGAGGGAAAGGCGAAAAGAACCCCGGCGAGGGGAGUGAAAAAGAACCUGAAACCGUGUACGUACAAGCAGUGGGAGCACGCUUAGGCGUGUGACUGCGUACCUUUUGUAUAAUGGGUCAGCGACUUAUAUUCUGUAGCAAGGUUAACCGAAUAGGGGAGCCGAAGGGAAACCGAGUCUUAACUGGGCGUUAAGUUGCAGGGUAUAGACCCGAAACCCGGUGAUCUAGCCAUGGGCAGGUUGAAGGUUGGGUAACACUAACUGGAGGACCGAACCGACUAAUGUUGAAAAAUUAGCGGAUGACUUGUGGCUGGGGGUGAAAGGCCAAUCAAACCGGGAGAUAGCUGGUUCUCCCCGAAAGCUAUUUAGGUAGCGCCUCGUGAAUUCAUCUCCGGGGGUAGAGCACUGUUUCGGCAAGGGGGUCAUCCCGACUUACCAACCCGAUGCAAACUGCGAAUACCGGAGAAUGUUAUCACGGGAGACACACGGCGGGUGCUAACGUCCGUCGUGAAGAGGGAAACAACCCAGACCGCCAGCUAAGGUCCCAAAGUCAUGGUUAAGUGGGAAACGAUGUGGGAAGGCCCAGACAGCCAGGAUGUUGGCUUAGAAGCAGCCAUCAUUUAAAGAAAGCGUAAUAGCUCACUGGUCGAGUCGGCCUGCGCGGAAGAUGUAACGGGGCUAAACCAUGCACCGAAGCUGCGGCAGCGACGCUGAUGCGUUGUUGGGUAGGGGAGCGUUCUGUAAGCCUGUGAAGGUGUGCUGUGAGGCAUGCUGGAGGUAUCAGAAGUGCGAAUGCUGACAUAAGUAACGAUAAAGCGGGUGAAAAGCCCGCUCGCCGGAAGACCAAGGGUUCCUGUCCAACGUUAAUCGGGGCAGGGUGAGUCGACCCCUAAGGCGAGGCCGAAAGGCGUAGUCGAUGGGAAACAGGUUAAUAUUCCUGUACUUGGUGUUACUGCGAAGGGGGGACGGAGAAGGCUAUGUUGGCCGGGCGACGGUUGUCCCGGUUUAAGCGUGUAGGCUGGUUUUCCAGGCAAAUCCGGAAAAUCAAGGCUGAGGCGUGAUGACGAGGCACUACGGUGCUGAAGCAACAAAUGCCCUGCUUCCAGGAAAAGCCUCUAAGCAUCAGGUAACAUCAAAUCGUACCCCAAACCGACACAGGUGGUCAGGUAGAGAAUACCAAGGCGCUUGAGAGAACUCGGGUGAAGGAACUAGGCAAAAUGGUGCCGUAACUUCGGGAGAAGGCACGCUGAUAUGUAGGUGAAGUCCCUCGCGGAUGGAGCUGAAAUCAGUCGAAGAUACCAGCUGGCUGCAACUGUUUAUUAAAAACACAGCACUGUGCAAACACGAAAGUGGACGUAUACGGUGUGACGCCUGCCCGGUGCCGGAAGGUUAAUUGAUGGGGUCAGCGCAAGCGAAGCUCUUGAUCGAAGCCCCGGUAAACGGCGGCCGUAACUAUAACGGUCCUAAGGUAGCGAAAUUCCUUGUCGGGUAAGUUCCGACCUGCACGAAUGGCGUAAUGAUGGCCAGGCUGUCUCCACCCGAGACUCAGUGAAAUUGAACUCGCUGUGAAGAUGCAGUGUACCCGCGGCAAGACGGAAAGACCCCGUGAACCUUUACUAUAGCUUGACACUGAACAUUGAGCCUUGAUGUGUAGGAUAGGUGGGAGGCUUUGAAGUGUGGACGCCAGUCUGCAUGGAGCCGACCUUGAAAUACCACCCUUUAAUGUUUGAUGUUCUAACGUUGACCCGUAAUCCGGGUUGCGGACAGUGUCUGGUGGGUAGUUUGACUGGGGCGGUCUCCUCCUAAAGAGUAACGGAGGAGCACGAAGGUUGGCUAAUCCUGGUCGGACAUCAGGAGGUUAGUGCAAUGGCAUAAGCCAGCUUGACUGCGAGCGUGACGGCGCGAGCAGGUGCGAAAGCAGGUCAUAGUGAUCCGGUGGUUCUGAAUGGAAGGGCCAUCGCUCAACGGAUAAAAGGUACUCCGGGGAUAACAGGCUGAUACCGCCCAAGAGUUCAUAUCGACGGCGGUGUUUGGCACCUCGAUGUCGGCUCAUCACAUCCUGGGGCUGAAGUAGGUCCCAAGGGUAUGGCUGUUCGCCAUUUAAAGUGGUACGCGAGCUGGGUUUAGAACGUCGUGAGACAGUUCGGUCCCUAUCUGCCGUGGGCGCUGGAGAACUGAGGGGGGCUGCUCCUAGUACGAGAGGACCGGAGUGGACGCAUCACUGGUGUUCGGGUUGUCAUGCCAAUGGCACUGCCCGGUAGCUAAAUGCGGAAGAGAUAAGUGCUGAAAGCAUCUAAGCACGAAACUUGCCCCGAGAUGAGUUCUC